Macaca fascicularis (crab-eating macaque) is the source of this 2304-nucleotide long non-coding RNA. The record is from Ensembl. Lineage: Eukaryota; Metazoa; Chordata; Mammalia; Primates; Cercopithecidae.
AUGCAAAACUUGUUGCUGCUUCUCCCGGCGCUGGGCGAGAGGCAGACACAGAGAGGGGAGCCGAGACCCUCGGAACGCCCCACGCAGAGCCCCCCCGCUAGUCGGGAGAGGGGUGCGCAGACCCCCCAGAGCUGCCCCCGCGCCCCCCUCCCCCCAUUCCAGGCUCUGAGAGCGCAGCGGGAACGCCUCAGCUUGCUCGCCCGGCGUGGCCCCCCGACCCGCGUACGCCCCCCUCCCUCAGGUCCGAGAGGGACUCGCGAAGCACCUCAGCGCGGAGGCAGGGAACCGGAGCCUUGGAGCGACCCAACCCCUCGUCUCGCUGCCCUCCCGCGCCUGCAACGGUGCGCCGAGACUCCAGCGAACUCAGACACCCAACGGCGGAGGACAGAAGCGGCAGGCGGCGGACGUGGCCGCGAAGCUGCGCGCUGGGCGCAGCGCACCCGCUGCCGAGCAGAGGAGCCGCGCCUUUCCCCGACCCUCCGCUCCAACCCCGGCGCCUGCCGCCUCCCAGCCCUCUGCGUCCUCGGCUCGGGGGCCGGCACCCGCGAUGCCGAGCGGAGCCUCCAGUCCUCUGACCCGCUGAAGAAGCAGCAGCGGCUCGCCCGGAGCCUACAGGGAUUGUGCGAGCGGAUCGUGUUCGGUGGAGGCUCGGGCUGCGGGGCGCGGGGACUCCAGGGGGCGGGGGAGGGACCGCUCUGUCGGUGCCCGGCGCUAGCCGCGGCUUUGAAGGGUCUCCCUCCCCUGCCCUUAGCAGCUCUGCCACGGACUCCGGGAGGCUGCGGGCGGCGUCCUGGGGGCUCCCCAACAGACCCAAUCGGACUUGAGAAGACCCACCCGCGGCUGUGACAACCGCCCGGGGCAUGGGCCCCCCAACACGGCUCCUAGAGGCCCCGCGGCCUCGCAAGAUGUGAGAGGCCCUCCCCGGGCAGAAUCGGAGCUUCGGGAGAGGAGCUGAUACCCGCCCCCCGUCCCUCACAUCAGGCGGGGUGGAGGUGCGCGCUGAGCCCCCGCGGUGCUGAGCGUCCCGGAGCGCCCAAUCCUGGGCUGGAACGAGUAGCUGGCCGGAGGCGCGCCGCGGAGAGCAGGCUGUCAUGCCCUAUUGAUCUCCCUCUGCCCCCCGCCAAGUAUGUUUGGGCUGGACCAAUUCGAGCCCCAGAUCAACAGCAGGAACGCUGGCCAGGGCGAGAGGAACUUUAACGAGACCGGACUGAGCAUGAACACCCACUUUAAGGCCCCGACUUUCCACACUGGGGGGCCCCCUGGCCCUGUGGAUCCUGCCAUGAGCGCGCUGGGCGAGCCCCCGAUCUUGGGUAUGAACAUGGAGCCCUACGGCUUCCACACGCGCGGCCACUCGGAGUUGCACGCAGGGGGGCUGCAGGCGCAGCCUGUGCACGGCUUCUUUGGCGGCCAGCAGCCUCACCACGGCCACCCGGGAAGUCACCAUCCCCACCAGCAUCACCCCCACUUUGGGGGCAACUUCGGUGGCCCGGACCCGGGGGCCUCGUGCCUGCACGGGGUCGCCUGCUCGGCUACGGCGGCGCAGCCGGAGGCCUGGGCAGCCAGCCGCCCUUCGCCGAGGGUUAUGAGCACAUGGCAGAGAGCCAGGGGCCUGAGAGCUUCGGCCCGCAGCGACCGGGGAACCUCCCGGACUUCCACAGUUCGGGUGCCUCCGGCCACGCCGUGCCGGCCCCAUGCCUGCCGCUGGACCAGAGCCCUAACCGAGCCGCCUCCUUCCACGGCCUGCCCUCCUCCAGCAGCUCCGAUUCCCACAGUCUGGAGCCCCGGAGGGUGACGAACCAAGGAGCCGUCGACUCGCUGGAAUACAAUUACCCGGGCGAGGGGCCCUCGGGACAUUUUGACAUGUUUUCGCCCUCUGACUCCGAAGGGCAGCUGCCUCAUUAUGCAGCUGGUCGCCAGGUUCCCGGGGGCGCUUUCCCGGGCGCCUCGGCCAUGCCCAGGGCUGCGGGCAUGGUGGGCUUGUCCAAAAUGCACGCCCAGCCACCGCAGCAGCAGCCGCAGCAGCAGCAGCAGCAACCCCAGCAGCAGCAGCAGCAGCAGCAGCAUGGUGUGUUCUUUGAGAGGUUCGGUGGGGCCAGAAAGAUGCCUGUGGGUCUGGAGCCCUCAGUGGGCUCCAGGCACCCGUUAAUGCAGCCUCCCCAGCAGGCCCCGCCACCCCUCAGCAGCAGCCCCGCAGCAACCGCCACAGCAGCAGCCGCCGCCGCCACCCGGGCUUCUAGUCCGACAAAAUUCGUGCCCGCCUCUCCCCUCGGCCCCAGCAGGGCGAGGGCGGGCACGCCAGCGGCG